GAUGAAGAACGUAACGAAAUGCGAUAAGUAAUGUGAAUUGCAGAAUUCAGUGAAUCAUCGAAUCUUUGAACGCACAUUGCGCCCCUUGGUAUUCCGGGGGGCAUGCCUGUUCGAGCGUCAUUACAACCCUCAAGCUCUGCUUGGUCUUGGGCGUCACCGGUCCCCGGUGUGCCUUAAAAUCAGUGGCGGCGCCAUCUGGCUCUAAGCGUAGUACAUACUCUCGCUACAGACGUCCGGUGGAUGCUGGCCAGCAACCCCCAAUUUAUCAAGGUUGACCUCGGAUCAGGUAGGGAUACCCGCUGAACUUAAGCAUAUCAACAAGCGGAGGA
This 329-nucleotide unclassified non-coding RNA is filed under the name soil metagenome. RNAcentral's name for it is "partial contains 5.8S ribosomal RNA, internal transcribed spacer 2, and large subunit ribosomal RNA". The stretch from base 1 to 120 matches the Rfam family "5.8S ribosomal RNA", at positions 35 to 154 of the family's 154-position model. The record is from RNAcentral.